Molecule: ribosomal RNA, 160 nt
Filed under: Brachylophon curtisii
Lineage: Eukaryota; Viridiplantae; Streptophyta; Magnoliopsida; Malpighiales; Malpighiaceae
Description: 5.8S ribosomal RNA
Rfam family: 5.8S ribosomal RNA
About the family: 5.8S ribosomal RNA (5.8S rRNA) is a component of the large subunit of the eukaryotic ribosome. It is transcribed by RNA polymerase I as part of the 45S precursor that also contains 18S and 28S rRNA.
Source: RNAcentral
ACGACUCUCGGCAACGGAUAUCUCGGCUCUCGCAUCGAUGAAGAACGUAGCAAAAUGCGAUACUUGGUGUGAAUUGCAGAAUCCCGUGAACCAUCGAGUCUUUGAACGCAAGUUGCGCCCGAAGUCUUUUGGCCGAGGGCACGCCUGCCUGGGUGUCACA